GUGGAUCAGAAUGCCACGGUGAAUACGUUCCCGGGCCUUGUACACACCGCCCGUCACACCAUGGGAGUGGGUUGCAAAAGAAGUAGGUAGCUUAACCUUCGGGAGGGCGCUUACCACUUUGUGAUUCAUGACUGGGGUGAAGUCGUAACAAGGUAACCGUAGGGGAACCUGCGGUUGGAUCACCUCCUUACCUUAAAGAA
Molecule: ribosomal RNA, 200 nt
Filed under: Enterobacter cloacae
Lineage: Bacteria; Pseudomonadati; Pseudomonadota; Gammaproteobacteria; Enterobacterales; Enterobacteriaceae
Also listed under: 1 other name
Description: partial 16S ribosomal RNA
Rfam family: Bacterial small subunit ribosomal RNA
Source: RNAcentral